This 253-nucleotide ribosomal RNA is filed under the name uncultured bacterium. Its description in RNAcentral is "partial 16S ribosomal RNA". It matches the Rfam family "Bacterial small subunit ribosomal RNA", at positions 524 to 776 of the family's 1533-position model. The record is from RNAcentral.
UACGAAGGUGGCAACCGUUGCUCGGAUUCACUGGGCAUAAAGCGCGCGUAGGUGGUUUGGCAGGUCACUGGUGAAAUCCCCCGGCUUAACCGGGGAACCGCCGGUGAAACCUCCAAGCUUGAGGCCGGGAGGGGAGAGUGGAACUCUUGGUGUAGCGGUGAAAUGCGUAGAUAUCAAGAGGAACGCCGGUGGCGAAAGCGACUCUCUGGACCGGUCCUGACACUGAUGCGCGAAAGCUAGGGGAGCAAACAGG